AGCCUAAACUAGCAAGUAAUUGUUGGCAUGGCGAAAGAAAACCGUUGAAGAUAAAGAACCCAUCAUAUGGGAUUUGUCUUCAACGGCCGUAUCGGGAAACUGGUACGGAAGGCUCCGAGCCUUC
This 124-nucleotide small RNA is filed under the name unclassified sequences. RNAcentral describes it as "LOOT RNA". It matches the Rfam family "LOOT RNA". Rfam says of the family: Latescibacteria, OD1/Parcubacteria, OP11, TM7. The record is from Rfam by way of RNAcentral.